Schistocerca americana (American grasshopper) is the source of this 851-nucleotide long non-coding RNA. RefSeq lists it as uncharacterized. The transcript is spliced from 3 exons. Lineage: Eukaryota; Metazoa; Arthropoda; Insecta; Orthoptera; Acrididae. The record is from RefSeq and is a predicted model, not a curated record.
GAAAUUUCUAACUGUCUUCUCGCCUCGCGAUAAAUUGACAAUAAUUUUAUUUAAUCUCGUUGGAGGUGACACCUGGGGAUCAACAUAGAUCCAUUUGAAAAUCACUGGUACAUAUAAUCAACUGACUCCAAUUCUUUGUCACUGGAAGAAGCAGUGGUAUCAGACAAUGCUGAAAACUGGCUGAAGAGGAGACUCACUUACAAGGGAACAGAUAGCAGUGCAUUUCCUUACUAAAUGUCACUUGGACCUAUUGAAGGCAUGGUCAACUUGGUGAGAAAAUGUGUUAAAGAUCAUUAAAAGAGUGAAACUGCUUGUGAAAAAUAGUAAACAUUGAAAAAGUGAAUUUUUCUGUCUGAAAAUGAACUGCAAGGUGCAGUGCAAUUUAACUUUUUGCAACCCAUGACAUUUAUUCUUUAAAGCAAGGCAGUAUUUGUAUAAAGUGAUAUGUAUCUAAGAAUGUAAUCUUUGUCUAUCCAAGAAGGACAUCACUUAUGAUGAAGAUGCCUAUUUUUAUUAAAAAUAUAAUUUGUGCCAAUCUACAAUAUACUAUAUGUAAAUAUUUUGCAUGGGGAUUUUCAUAUGGACAGUUCAUUUAAGUAGAAAUUUGAAAAACAUGUGUACUGUAGUUUUUGAUAACAGGAUUUCUUAUGUAAUAUUUUUUUGUGUAGAAUGUUAAACCCAAUUUCUGGGGUCACUUGUGGUCACUGAAUUGCCCAGUUAGCUAUUUGCAAUAUCUAUCUGGUCAAUCCAAUGAGGGGGUAAUGUGACGAAGCAAGGUGGGAUCUCUUUACUUCCUCUAUUGUUUUGCCAUCUGCCUCCUUAAAUUCAUUUUUGACUACUUACCUUUAACA